Molecule: long non-coding RNA, 801 nt
Filed under: Anas platyrhynchos platyrhynchos (common mallard)
Lineage: Eukaryota; Metazoa; Chordata; Aves; Anseriformes; Anatidae
Description: lncRNA (ENSAPLG00000028821.1)
Source: RNAcentral
AUGAUUUGUGGAUUCUACUCAUUCACAUCCCCAAAUGUGACACAUUUUCUCAGUACACUGAGUCUUGUGGCAGUUACUGGGAUGAACCCAGGCAGCCACCAGGUAUUAGGGCAGAGGUGCCCAGUCAGCAGCUGGAAAACACUUCCACAGAGCCAUCCAAGUGGACCAACUGAGUGCCUCCAAAAAGCCAUGAGCUUAAAUUUUAACUCUGGACACCAGAAAGCAUGGAUUCAACAGAAGCAUAAAUUUGGUAGGAAAGAGUAGUUAAGCUGUGAGCAAGAGACCCAGGAAAUAGUGUGCCACAGGUUGUUUUAGUGCCUGCCCUUUCGCUGCCCUGAAUUCUGAGCAGAUACACUCAAAUGUUAAUCCUGCAUAGACAGCUCUUCCUCCAAGGUCAGCAGGCUGUUCUUGGAAGGGCUUGGUACGGGCAUUUCCUGUACAAAGGUACAGUUACUGUUGAAAUGGACGUCUCUUUUACCUGAGAACGGGAGUUUUUCACAUGAAAUCAGACAAUUGUGUUCCAUAUGACUUCAUCGGUUUAGAAUUUAAAUCCCUUUUUAAUGCAAUUUUGUAUAUGUUAUUCCCAAUUGUAAAACAUACUUAAUUAGUCAAGUACAUUUCAAAGUACAUACAGAACUACUUAGGAUGACUCUCCAAGAACACGUCCUGUACAUGUGUAUUGGUUUACCUUGGUAUACAAAUCACUGUAUUCAUUCGCAUACUGUCUUUACUGAACUGGUGUUCUAGAUGAGUACCAAUCCUACAGUUUGAUAACAGGCAAUUUUUUUAUUCUUAUGUUCC